UUUAUGUUGUGCGAAGGAUAAAAUCAUAUUUACAUCAUUAAUCAUAAUGUAAGUUAUUACAUUUAUAAAUAUUUGUUAGGUACUAUUUAUUUUAUAUAUAAAUUCAAGUGAAUUUUAUUUAUAAUAUUAAAAACUUAUUGGUCAUAUAUAUAUAUAUAUAUUUAUAUCAAGAAGAUUUGAUAUUCUUUUAUGUUUUACUUAAUAAAAAAAAAUGUUAUUACACUUUAUACAUUGAACUAGGCAAACAACUGGCUACCAUGUCAAUCGAUUUCAUAUUUAAGAUUUUUCCUGAGAAGAUUUCCCUGAAGAACUCGCUGGUGAAGCAGAAGAGGAAUUUUUGGAAUUUGCAUUGUUGUUUGUACUACGCUUCUCUUGUUUUGCCUUUUUCAUCAUAUCCUUCAAUCUCCUAUCUGCACUAAUGAUAUGAAUGUUCGGUAUGAUCUUCGGACCACCACCUAUGCCAGAUGGAAAACUAUUUCUAUUAAUAGGUUGUGAUUGAUUUACAUUAUUUGAUGAUGAUUUGUAUUUUUCUGAGUGCUUCGAGCCUAAAGAAAAUGAAAUGAUAACAUAAUGGUAUUUUAUGUACUGAAUAUCAUGUACUACUGUACUUACUUGAAUUAGGUUUCUUUUGCUCUUUGGAUUUACUCUCUAUUACAGUCUUUGGUGAGCUUCUUUCUUUUGGUGCCUAAAAUAGAUUAUAAUGAAAGCAUUAAGGUUCUCUAUGUAUAUAUCUGUGUAUUUAAAUUUUGGAUUUCUGCAAAAUGCAAAUGCAACAUAAUAUGGUUGAAUACACACACCUGAGAUUUUGUACAGUUUGAACAAUACCACACUAAUCUUGGAACAUCUA
Vespa velutina is the source of this 847-nucleotide long non-coding RNA. RefSeq lists it as uncharacterized. The transcript has 2 exons. Lineage: Eukaryota; Metazoa; Arthropoda; Insecta; Hymenoptera; Vespidae. The record is from RefSeq and is a predicted model, not a curated record.